This 180-nucleotide ribosomal RNA is filed under the name uncultured Glomeromycotina. RNAcentral describes it as "partial small subunit ribosomal RNA". The stretch from base 91 to 180 matches the Rfam family "Eukaryotic small subunit ribosomal RNA", at positions 736 to 828 of the family's 1831-position model. Lineage: Eukaryota; Fungi; Glomeromycota. The record is from RNAcentral.
GGCUCUGCCAGCCGGUCCGCCUUCUUGGUGUGUACUUGUUUGGUGGAGCCUUACCUCCUGGUGAACAGCGAUGUCCUUCACUGGGUGUCGUUGCAAACCAGGACGUUUACUUUGAAAAAAUUAGAGUGUUUAAAGCAGGCAUUCGCUUGAAUACAUUAGCAUGGAAUAAUAAAAUAGGAC